ACGAACGCUGGCGGCAGGCCUAACACAUGCAAGUCGAACGCGUGUAGCAAUACACGAGUGGCGGACGGGUGAGUAACACGUGGGAAUCUACCUAGCAGUACGGAAUAACCGCGGGAAACUGCGGCUAAUACCGUAUACGCCCUCCGGGGGAAAGAUUUAUCGCUGUUAGAUGAGCCCGCGUCCGAUUAGCUAGUUGGCGGGGUAAUGGCCCACCAAGGCGACGAUCGGUAGCUGGUCUGAGAGGAUGAUCAGCCACACUGGGACUGAGACACGGCCCAGACUCCUACGGGAGGCAGCAGUGGGGGAUAUUGGACAAUGGGGGAAACCCUGAUCCAGCCAUGCCGCGUGGGUGAAGAAGGCCCUAGGGUUGUAAAGCCCUUUUGGCGGGGACGAUAAUGACGGUACCCGCAGAAGAAGCACCGGCUAACUUCGU
Molecule: ribosomal RNA, 433 nt
Filed under: uncultured bacterium
Lineage: Bacteria
Description: bacterial SSU rRNA
Rfam family: Bacterial small subunit ribosomal RNA
Source: RNAcentral